AUCCCCUUUACAAGUGUCCUUCCCCAGGGUCCUGACUUCAACCAGUGAACUUUCCUUCCGUCCCUUUCCGCAAACCCCAGCCAAAUUUGCAGAUGAGACCCUUUCCCUCUGACAGCGUAACUACUUAGCAAGCUCCCUUUCCCAUCACCUUCUGAAGCCCAGCCUUGCAUGAUUUCCACUGUCUUUCACUACCUCUGCACGCUGAUGUUCAGGAAAAAUAGUCCCCUCCCACCCUGUCCAGGUUAGAUAUCAUUCAGCGCUCUCUGGACAGGCUUGUGCAGCAAUUUGGAAGCCAAAACACCAAGAUGGGAAGCAGAAACCGCCUCCCUGAUAGAGAGAGAUGUUGCUCCAUAUCAUCACAGUGCUGAUGUAAACCACAUCGGAGAAUUCCUAGGCAAGCAUCCAUCCAGUUCUACUGAAUUCUUCCAAACAUUGUGUUUUGACCUCCUCUUAGGACAACUAGGGACCACUUCAUGAUGCUCAUGCUGAGGUUCUUAUUGUCAUUGGGUCUGGAAUGGAGAAACUGAUGACUAUCCUACCACAAGUACUGGAUGAACCAAUAAGAGCAGAUUCCUACUCAGGAAUCCUUUGUGCCAGAGCAUUUAUGAUCGCUAGCUCAGGUAGCACCAAACUUUCUGUCCAGAUGGACCUAGUCAGCAAGAAACUGCCUUCCACAGUUGUGUCCUUGCUGUUGCUGCCGCUGCUGUUGCUGCUGCUGAGACCAGCCAGAAGAGGCUGUCCUAACAGCCCUG
Long non-coding RNA from Monodelphis domestica (gray short-tailed opossum), 752 nucleotides. RefSeq lists it as uncharacterized. NCBI's taxonomy places the organism in Eukaryota, Metazoa, Chordata, Mammalia, Didelphimorphia, Didelphidae. The record is from RefSeq and is a predicted model, not a curated record.